GCUAGGGAGAGGAAGAAAGAGAGGGCCUAAAAGCAAUGGGAAUGAGAACAUAGAGGAAAAACUAAUCGGUUCUUCACCUCUUGUGUUGAGUUGUAAAUCCUGCUUGGUAUUUCCCAAUGCCUUUCAUUCCUAUCGUUCUUAAGCGCCUCCUUCCUCUUUCUUUUUGUU
Non-coding RNA from Hordeum vulgare subsp. vulgare (domesticated barley), 168 nucleotides. Lineage: Eukaryota; Viridiplantae; Streptophyta; Magnoliopsida; Poales; Poaceae. The record is from Rfam.